CUGCUGAAUACUCUAAUCGUUAAGGACAGGGGGAAGACGUUAAAGAAGAAGCCCCAGUCACCAUGCCAACCGGAGUCGCUUUUGUAGAUUUCAUAGCCUUCAAUAUGCCCGCCCUUGACGCCACUGUCAGAAUGUUAAUCAAACAAAAUGUGGGGCUAGACUUCAAGCACUCCAACUUGGAGAUCAGAGAAAUCCAGCACCGAAAAUAUUUGUAAUGAUGCUCCCAGGGAACAUCGUAAGAGAGAUAUGAUCUAACACUUGGAAAGACUAAAAUGGAACCCCCAACAAUAAUAAUAAAAACACUCUUAAUUGUACAAAAUCUGUAAAUUUCUUUAGAAUUAGAACUUGCUCAACUGCAAUCUUUAUUCCUUAAAA
Drosophila grimshawi is the source of this 375-nucleotide long non-coding RNA. RefSeq lists it as uncharacterized. NCBI's taxonomy places the organism in Eukaryota, Metazoa, Arthropoda, Insecta, Diptera, Drosophilidae. The record is from RefSeq and is a predicted model, not a curated record. The transcript has 2 exons.